AACGAACGCUGGCGGCAUGCCUAACACAUGCAAGUCGAACGAGACCUUCGUGUCUAUUUGCGCACGUGUGCUUAACACUUGGUAACCUUCCCUUAGGUUCCCAAUCACUCCCCUAAGGGUGUGCUAAUACCUCAUAAUGUCUUCCUACCAAAGAUUUAUGGCCUUUUGAUGGGGCCUCGUUAGUUUCGCUAGUUGGUAGGGUAAAAGCAUACCAAGGCGACGAUCCAUAGCUGGUCUGAGAGGAUGAUCAUCCACAAUGGGAAUGAGACACAGCCCAGACUGCUACGGGAGGCAGCAGUGGGGAAUAUUAGAGAAGGGGCGCAAGUGUGAUAAAGCAAUGCGGGGUGAGAGAUGAAGGGAGUAGGGUUGUAAAGCUGGUUUAGACGGGAUGAUAAUGACAGUAACGGGAGAAGAAGCACCGGCUAACUACGUG
This 433-nucleotide ribosomal RNA is filed under the name uncultured bacterium. RNAcentral describes it as "partial 16S ribosomal RNA". It matches the Rfam family "Bacterial small subunit ribosomal RNA", at positions 29 to 507 of the family's 1533-position model. The record is from RNAcentral.